This 377-nucleotide ribosomal RNA is filed under the name uncultured bacterium. Its description in RNAcentral is "bacterial SSU rRNA". It matches the Rfam family "Bacterial small subunit ribosomal RNA", at positions 523 to 898 of the family's 1533-position model. The record is from RNAcentral.
AUACGUAGGGGGCGAGCGUUGUCCGGAAUUACUGGGCGUAAAGGGCGCGUAGGCGGCCCAAAAAGUCAGAUGUGAAAAACCUGGGCUUAACCGAGGUCUUGCAUUUGAAACUGUUGGGCUUGAGGGCAGGAGAGGAAAGCGGAAUUCCCAGUGUAGCGGUGAAAUGCGUAGAUAUUGGGAGGAACACCAGUGGCGAAGGCGGCUUUCUGGACUGCACCUGACGCUGAGGCGCGAAAGCCAGGGGAGCGAACGGGAUUAGAUACCCCGGUAGUCCUGGCCGUAAACGAUGGAUACUAGGUGUGGGAGGUAUCGACCCCUUCCGUGCCGCAGCCAACGCACUAAGUAUCCCGCCUGGGGAGUACGGCCGCAAGGCUGAA